Molecule: small nucleolar RNA, 106 nt
Organism: Gossypium arboreum
Lineage: Eukaryota; Viridiplantae; Streptophyta; Magnoliopsida; Malvales; Malvaceae
Rfam family: Plant small nucleolar RNA R71
About the family: R71 is a member of the C/D box family of snoRNAs containing the C (UGAUGA) and D (CUGA) box motifs. Multiple nearly identical copies of this snoRNA have been identified in Arabidopsis, and it is thought to function as a 2'-O-ribose methylation guide for 18S ribosomal RNA.
Source: Rfam
AUACAUGCAGAAGACAUUUCCCAAGAAAUUUUUUGAAUCUUUCCCAUAUUUCAUAUAGUGUUUCAUCCUCUAGUUGCUUGAAGGAUGUUAUGUCAUUUCUCAGUUU